This 451-nucleotide ribosomal RNA is filed under the name uncultured bacterium. RNAcentral describes it as "partial 16S ribosomal RNA". It matches the Rfam family "Bacterial small subunit ribosomal RNA", at positions 29 to 523 of the family's 1533-position model. The record is from RNAcentral.
AGCGAACGCUGGCGGCAGGCCUAACACAUGCAAGUCGAGCGGCCGUAGCAAUACGGCAGCGGCAGACGGGAGAGUAACACGUGGGAACGUACCUUUCAGUUCGGAACAACCAAGGGAAACUUUGGCUAAUACCGGAUACGCCCGUAAGGGGAAAGAUUUAUCGCUGAAAGAUCGGCCCGCGUCUGAUUAGCUAGUUGGUGGGGUAAUGGCCCACCAAGGCGACGAUCAGUAGCUGGUCUGAGAGGAUGAUCAGCCUCACUGGGACUGAGACACGGCCCAGACUCCUACGGGAGGCAGCAGUGGGGAAUAUUGGACAAUGGGCGAAAGCCUGAUCCAGCCAUGCCGCGUGGAUGAUGAAGGCCCUAGGGUUGUAAAGUCCUUUCGACGGGGAAGAUAAUGACGGUACCCGUAGAAGAAGCCCCGGCUAACUUCGUGCCAGCCGCCGCAGUAA